RNAcentral lists this ribosomal RNA (490 nucleotides) under uncultured bacterium. RNAcentral describes it as "partial 16S ribosomal RNA". It matches the Rfam family "Bacterial small subunit ribosomal RNA", at positions 30 to 507 of the family's 1533-position model. The record is from RNAcentral.
AUUGAACGCUGGCGGCAGGCCUAACACAUGCAAGUCGAAUGGUAACAGGAAACAGCUUGCUGUUUCGCUGACGAGUGGCGGACGGGUGAGUAAUGUCUGGGAAACUGCCUGAUGGAGGGGGAUAACUACUGGAAACGGUAGCUAAUACCGCAUAACGUCGCAAGACCAAAGAGGGGGACCUUCGGGCCUCUUGCCAUCAGAUGUGCCCAGAUGGGAUUAGCUAGUAGGUGGGGUAACGGCUCACCUAGGCGACGAUCCCUAGCUGGUCUGAGAGGAUGAACAGCCACACUGGAACUGAGACACGGUCCAGACUCCUACGGGAGGCAGCAGUGGGGAAUAUUGCACAAUGGGCGCAAGCCUGAUGCAGCCAUGCCGCGUGUAUGAAGAAGGCCUUCGGGUUGUAAAGUACUUUAAGCGGGGAGGAAGGGAGUAAAGUUAAUACCUUUGCUCAUUGACGUUACCCGCAGAAGAAGCACCGGCUAACUCCGUG